CGAAUGAGCCACACAUGUCUCAAGGGAUGGUCAACUUUGAUUACAAGGUCAAUUGCUUUAACCUUCCUAGAUCAUUUUCCCCGAUUUUUGACAUAUAUUGUAUUAGUGUGACCUAAUGGGAGUUUUAUAUACUAACCACAAGAAUCGCCCUCUCAAGAUUUUCAUGGGAAACAAAAUCCAAACUUCACACUUCACUCAACACUCCCAUAACCUCAAAUCUUCCUGUUAAUCUGCAGCUUUUUGAAUUUGGUAUGCUUCUUCCACUUUAGCUACAUGUUUUCCAGCAAUCCUCACAUGCUAUUGCUAAUAAUUUAAUUUACUUAUACUGCACAAUAUUCUACAAGAUAUUAUCAAUCUUUUGAGAAAUUGAUUAUUGAUUUUUUUUUGUAAUAUAGUUUCUGCAUUAUUGAAGCUAUGUUAACUUCUUUUACAUUUUUUUCUAUAUUACUUUUGCUAUCAGACAUUGGGACGUUUGGCUCAAAACAGAGAGGCCGCAAGAAAAAGCUGGCUAAGGAAAAAUGUGGUUUGACGUUGACCAAAGGCAUGAAGGUUGUGUUACUUGGAAAUGUAGUGUGCAUAAACUUGAUUUGGGAAGCUAAAUGGCUAUGGAGCUUUCCUCUAGAGAGGACUUAAUUAUAGCACUGGGUUUUUUCAGACUUUAGCUAAAUGUUUUAUUGAUGAACAGAUCUUUGGAAAUGUUUGUGGAUGUGAAUCUAGCAGAAGAGGGGAUUUUGAGGUUGCUCUUUGCUGUAGUUUUUCUCAUUGUUAACAAAAAUGGAAAUGAUAGCAAAACUUCUGCUGCUUCAGGAUUACUUUGGACCUGCUUCUGCUGCAAUUCAGGUUAAUAUACAACAAAGAACCAACUAACUAACUAGUUCAUAUUUUCGUUAGAUAUUUGUUCGUUAGAUGUGACAAUGAACCAGCUCCAUGGACAAGUGAUGAACAUGGAGACCGUCCACGCCCACUUCCAGUGGUUAAAGAGUUGAAGGGGGCAAUUGAUGUAACUAAAAGGAAGAAAGCUGCAGCAUGGGAUUAUGAUCUAAGUGGUGUUGUACAAAAAGGAAAAGGAAUGCCGGAUGUGGAAGAGACCCCCCACCACCAAGCAAGAAAAUGGAUGCUAUAAGGUAUGAAUAUGGGAUAUCAGAAAAGAUAAAAAUUGUACAAAAGUCAAGAUCAAGCCAGUGAGAGAUAGGCUUAUGAAAGGUAAUGCCUCUCUUGUCCAACAUGUGAACUUAGUUAGUUGUGCUGAGACUGAUUGAUUUAAAUUGGUGGAAACUCGCUUAAGCUUUGAAUCAAAGCAAGAUAAAUUAUCAAGUGGUGAUAAUAGAAAACUCCAAAUGAUUGGUGAGAAGAUGGAUGCUCUGUUCCAAGGGCUGAUCGAUGAGCAUAGAAGCAAGAAGGAAAGUUCAAACACCAUGAUAGAUCACUUGCUCUCCUUUCAAGAAUCUCAACCAGAGUAUUACACCGAUCAAAUUAUCAAAGGGCUUAUCAUGGCCAUGAUGGUGGCUGGAACAGAGACUUCGGCUAUAACAAUAAAUGGGCAUUGUCGAAUCUGUUAAACCAUCCACAAGUGUUGGAGAAAGCAAGGAUGGAGUUGGACAAGUAAAGGGAUAUAGCACAAUUUUACCUAGAUGCUUCCUGAGUAAUAAACAGUGCCUAAACAUUUCAAAUAAAGUUGAAGAAUAAGAGAAUGCUAACCUCAGAGAUUGCAUGAUACUCUUUUGUUCAUUUAUAUAUCUCAGAUGUUCUUUUAUAUCUAUUUCUAGGGUCUUCAUGGAUAAGAAUUCCCUGUUAGACAACAACUCCUCAACCUAGCGCUUCACUGCUCCAAAAGUCUGCUUAAAUUGUGAAACCUUAUUCUCAAACUGCUUGUGAGAACUGGUGCAAUUCUCCACCGACUUCCACAAAUUUUCUUCCUUCACCAAAUCCAAUAGAGUCAAGGGAAGAGAACUAAACUUGGAGAAGAGAUAUGACAUUAUCAUUGGGACAGUUGAAGGAUUGGUUUACCUGCAUGAAAAUUCAAAAACUAGGAUAAUUCAAAGAGAUAUAAAAGCCAGCAACAUCUUAUUGGAUGCUAAACUUCACGCCAAAAUUAUAUGUGUUGAUGAUUUGCUGCAUUAGCUCCAACAAUGCGAACCUGGUUGCGACUCAACAAAAGACUGACUGCAAUUUCCUCAGCUAGCUUGAAAACCAAAGGGAAGAAUUUGUAUAUUGCAAUGCUGAUGUGGAGUUUAACUUGAAGUGGCCACACACAACCACAAGGAGAUCGAGGAGGUGUAUUUGUCAAUGGCUCUGAGCAAGUCACCAUCAUGCAAUCUAAAAGGAAUAGGAUCAAUAUAAAAUCUUGUUUAUUUAGAUUGUUGAAAAUGAAGGAACUAGUAGUGUCAAUGAGUAAUGUAAAUAGUUAUAGUUUUGUCACUGAUUUAUUUUUUGGGUUUCUUUUUAUUGAGAUAGUGAGAUAUUGGCCAAUGAUAUUGAAAAAUAACAUCCAAUUUUAUAGGUAUCAUGUAAUGAGUAUUAUGUUUAUCU
Molecule: long non-coding RNA, 2529 nt
Organism: Arachis stenosperma
Lineage: Eukaryota; Viridiplantae; Streptophyta; Magnoliopsida; Fabales; Fabaceae
Exons: 11
Source: RefSeq, a predicted model, not a curated record